AAUGAACGCUGGCGGCGCGCCUAAUACAUGCAAGUCGAGCGAGAAGACGUAGCAAUACGUUUGUAAAGCGGCGAACGGGUGAGGAAUACAUGGGUAACCUACCCUCGAGUGGGGAAUAACUAGCCGAAAGGUUAGCUAAUACCGCGUACGCUUCUUGGACUUCGGUUCAGGGAGGAAAGCGAUGCCGAGGGUAUCGCGCUCUUGGAUGGGCUCAUGUCCUAUCAGCUUGNGGUGAGGUAACGGCUCACCAAGGCUUCGACGGGUAGCUGGUCUGAGAGGACGAUCAGCCACACUGGCACUGCGACACGGGCCAGACUCCUACGGGAGGCAGCAGUAAGGAAUAUUGCGCAAUGGGCGAAAGCCUGACGCAGCGACGCCGCGUGGGGGAUGAAGGUCUUCGGAUUGUAAACCCCUUUCGGGUAGGGAAGA
This 429-nucleotide ribosomal RNA is filed under the name uncultured bacterium. RNAcentral describes it as "bacterial SSU rRNA". It matches the Rfam family "Bacterial small subunit ribosomal RNA", at positions 29 to 448 of the family's 1533-position model. The record is from RNAcentral.